UUUUCAAUAUACAGUUGAAAACAUAUUUCUCAGCUUUCACAAAGCCCACUAUGUAUUACUUACUAUAUGAGUCCCGUUUGUAUAUUCUGAGGAGGUUUUGCGCAUUAUACGAAGCCCGACAGUGUUGUCAAUAUUUACCUAGUACGCAGUUCCUUUCAAUAAAAUAACAAAUAUCCAAAUCUUCAAUAGGGCUGCACUUAUCUGGUUUCUAGAAAAUAUUAUGCACUUUUUUUAACAUAUUUGAGAGUUUACUUAGUGUAGUGUGUUGGUUUGUACUACCAGAAUGGACAGAACUAAAUUUCUCAUAAGUUUAGCUGCUCAAAAUGAAACAGCACAUGUGACAGACGUGGGUGAAGUUACUCAUUUACCUAAACGUCAAAGGUCUACAUACUCCAGACCACCUUCUUCAGAAUCAAGAAGUAGCACAAGCAGUUUUCAAGAUUUUGCGAGCUCUGGUAGUGAAUAUGUACCUCCUGAUAAACAUCCAACUACUAAUUUUAAUUGGUC
Molecule: long non-coding RNA, 507 nt
Organism: Tribolium castaneum (red flour beetle)
Lineage: Eukaryota; Metazoa; Arthropoda; Insecta; Coleoptera; Tenebrionidae
Exons: 3
Source: RefSeq, a predicted model, not a curated record